UCUUAUUACUCAAAAUUGUACACAUUUUCUCAUGCUCUUAAUUUAGUUAUGCUACUUUUCUUUACUCUUGGAAUUUUCACACUUGUGUUCACUCUCUUUUGAGUUCUCAUAGUAUCAAAUAAGCUUUUUUCCCUCUUUCUGAUUUGAAGGUUCAUCUUCUCAUAAUUAUUUUGUCCGCUCAGUUUCUUUUCAUUCUCAGUUAAGUGCCUCUCAUCUGGCUUUUCAUUUGUAAGGUUUCCUUUCAUCUUAAGCCAGUCUUUCAUUUAUAUUUUGAUUCUGUUUUGUGGAGGACAUACUUCCCUGAA
RNAcentral lists this long non-coding RNA (305 nucleotides) under Homo sapiens (human). Its description in RNAcentral is "PREDICTED lncRNA (TCONS_00031015)". Lineage: Eukaryota; Metazoa; Chordata; Mammalia; Primates; Hominidae. The record is from RNAcentral.